CUAUGGUGCUGCUCUUUCUUGGUGUGUUUUGCUUGGGGCUGGAGACACAUCUGUGUAACUGCUGCAUUUUAUAGGUUCAACAUGCACAUGGAGAUUUAUCAUGGGUUCCAAAUGCCUGAAUAAGGCUUUCCUGGAUUGAGCAUCAAGUCACUUCUGGGUCCACCUGCCACCCCUGUGCCAUCUGAUUUGCACAAUGUCCAGCCUGGUGAAGAAUACUGGAGGCCUUAAAAGUCUGCUUGCUAACUUCCGAUAUAUUGGCAAUCAAAAGAUCCCACAUCCUGAGGGAAAGAAGAAACAAAAGAUCAACUUGACUGACCGCGAUGCCACAUCUGGAGGAUUGCUUCACAAUCUAUUGCUUGUUAACAUGCCAAAGAAAAUAAUUUAAAGGCUUACCAGAAAUCCAGCGAAGUGUUUAGUCAUAAAAAUGAUUCAGUGCCACCUUUAAUAAUGCAAAUCCUGUCUCAAGCAUUCAAACCUAAAUGAUAUCUAUGCUUGCUAUCCAGUUGAGGCUUCUGAGUCUGACACAUUCAGUGGCUACAAUGCAACUGCAGAAAUGGAAGAGUUUAAAGGCUGAAGCAAGCAUACAUAAGACAGCAUUGCAAAAAGAUCAUGGUGUGCAUGAUCAGAACCAUACUGCCUGUGUUCAUACAUUCUUUCCAUUGCCUCCAGCUUUUCACUUUCUCCUCUGGCUCACCAUUAUAGGAGGCUAAAAUGAUUGACUUUCCUCCAGAACGCACAGACUUUGAACAGGAAAGAAGAAGCUGUGUUUCCCCAAUGGACUGCAAUUUUCAUUUUCCCUAGCCACCAUAAUCAAAGGCCAUAUAUAUGGGAGCUGGAGUCUAACAACAUCUGAAGUACUACAGGUUCCCAUCCCUGCUUUAGUGAGAAAGAUGUGGAUAAUUAUAAAUGUGAAAAAUAAUAAAGUGCUGACAUUUGUUGAAAUGUA
Long non-coding RNA from Podarcis raffonei (Aeolian wall lizard), 946 nucleotides. RefSeq lists it as uncharacterized. The record is from RefSeq and is a predicted model, not a curated record. The transcript is spliced from 5 exons. Lineage: Eukaryota; Metazoa; Chordata; Lepidosauria; Squamata; Lacertidae.